CAGAGUGCGCAGCCAGUGCUGCUGAGGGCAGAGGAGAGAAGAGGGCUGAGAGCAGGGAGAGGCCCGUCUCUUCUCCUGCAGCACUGACUUUUCCUCUG
This 98-nucleotide microRNA precursor is filed under the name Mus caroli (Ryukyu mouse). RNAcentral describes it as "miRNA (MGP_CAROLIEiJ_G0007938.1)". The record is from RNAcentral. Lineage: Eukaryota; Metazoa; Chordata; Mammalia; Rodentia; Muridae.